RNAcentral lists this ribosomal RNA (163 nucleotides) under uncultured bacterium. RNAcentral's name for it is "partial 16S ribosomal RNA". It matches the Rfam family "Bacterial small subunit ribosomal RNA", at positions 355 to 509 of the family's 1533-position model. The record is from RNAcentral.
UAGGGAAUUUUCGUCAAUGGGCGCAAGCCUGAAACGAGCAAUGCCGCGUGAACGAGGAAGGUCUUCGGAUCGUAAAGUUCUGUUGAAGGGGAAAAAGAGCGGAGAGAGGAAAUGGUCUCCGAUUGAUAUUACCCUUCGAGGAAGUCACGGCUAACUACGUGCC